RNAcentral lists this unclassified non-coding RNA (303 nucleotides) under Hevea brasiliensis (rubber tree). The record is from RNAcentral. Lineage: Eukaryota; Viridiplantae; Streptophyta; Magnoliopsida; Malpighiales; Euphorbiaceae.
GAAAAAAAGAAAGAGAGAAGCUUUAACCCUGAGCAAACACUACUCUGAACAGUGAAAAGGUAGGAAUUUAUAUAAAUUUGAUUGAGCAUAGUAAAAUUUAGUGGGUUCAUGAUGUGUUGCAUGGCACUUGAAACAUCAAUCAGCUUUUCAGAGGAGACCAGGAAAUAAGAUCAGAGCAAUUAUAAAAAAUUUCACCCCAAUUCUAGGCCAAAAAAAACAAAACAGAAGCAUAUUACUAAAUUCUUUAUAUAAUAUUAGGUUCUUUUGUAAUUAGAUUUAAUGUUCCUAGCUUGAGGGUUGCCA